RNAcentral lists this unclassified non-coding RNA (329 nucleotides) under soil metagenome. Its description in RNAcentral is "partial contains 5.8S ribosomal RNA, internal transcribed spacer 2, and large subunit ribosomal RNA". The stretch from base 1 to 120 matches the Rfam family "5.8S ribosomal RNA", at positions 35 to 154 of the family's 154-position model. The record is from RNAcentral.
GAUGAAGAACGUAGCGAAAUGCGAUAAGUAGUGUGAAUUGCAGAAUUCAGUGAAUCAUCGAAUCUUUGAACGCACAUUGCGCCCCUUGGUAUCCCGAGGGGCAUGCCUGUUCGAGCGUCAUUUCACCACUCAAGCCUGGCUUGGUGUUGGGCGACGUCCUCUUUGGGGACGCUCCUCGAAACGCUCGGCGGCGUGGCACCGGCUUUAAGCGUAGCAGAAUCUUUCGCUUUGGAAGUCGGGGCCCCGUCUGCCGGAAGACCUGCUCGCAAGGUUGACCUCGGAUCAGGCAGGGAUACCCGCUGAACUUAAGCAUAUCAAUAAGCGGAGGA